Molecule: ribosomal RNA, 466 nt
Filed under: uncultured bacterium
Lineage: Bacteria
Description: bacterial SSU rRNA
Rfam family: Bacterial small subunit ribosomal RNA
Source: RNAcentral
CCAGACUCCUACGGGAGGCAGCAGUGAGGAAUAUUGGUCAAUGGGCUUACGCCUGAACCAGCCAAGCCGCGUGAGGGAAGACUGCCCUAUGGGUUGUAAACCUCUUUUGUCAGGGAGCAAUUGGCGCUACGUGUAGCGUUAUCGAGAGUACCUGAAGAAAAAGCAUCGGCUAACUCCGUGCCAGCAGCCGCGGUAAUACGGAGGAUGCGAGCGUUAUCCGGAUUUAUUGGGUUUAAAGGGUGCGCAGGCGGCACGGCAAGCCGGCGGUCAAAUCGCGGGGCUAAACCCCGCCCAGCCGUCGGAACUGCCGGGCUAGAGUGGGCGAGAAGUACGCGGAAUGCGUGGUGUAGCGGUGAAAUGCAUAGAUAUCACGCAGAACUCCGAUUGCGAAGGCAGCGUACCGGCGCCCAACUGACGCUGAAGCACGAAGGCGUGGGUAUCGAACAGGAUUAGAUACCCCCGUAUC